Molecule: transfer RNA, 71 nt
Filed under: Poecile palustris (marsh tit)
Lineage: Eukaryota; Metazoa; Chordata; Aves; Passeriformes; Paridae
Description: tRNA-His
Rfam family: tRNA
About the family: Transfer RNA (tRNA) molecules are approximately 80 nucleotides in length. Their secondary structure includes four short double-helical elements and three loops (D, anti-codon, and T loops). Further hydrogen bonds mediate the characteristic L-shaped molecular structure. tRNAs have two regions of fundamental functional importance: the anti-codon, which is responsible for specific mRNA codon recognition, and the 3' end, to which the tRNAs corresponding amino acid is attached (by aminoacyl-tRNA synthetases). tRNAs cope with the degeneracy of the genetic code in two manners: having more than one tRNA (with a specific anti-codon) for a particular amino acid; and 'wobble' base-pairing, i.e. permitting non-standard base-pairing at the 3rd anti-codon position.
Source: RNAcentral
GCAGGUAUAGUUUCAACUCAAAACAUUAGGCUGUGAUCCUAAAAAUAGAAGUUAAAUCCUUCUUACCCGCC